This 687-nucleotide ribosomal RNA is filed under the name uncultured delta proteobacterium. RNAcentral's name for it is "bacterial SSU rRNA". It matches the Rfam family "Bacterial small subunit ribosomal RNA", at positions 1 to 666 of the family's 1533-position model. Lineage: Bacteria; Deltaproteobacteria. The record is from RNAcentral.
UAGAGUUUGAUCCUGGCUCAGAAUGAACGCUGGCGGCGUGCUUAACACAUGCAAGUCGGACGAGAAAUCUUUAGCUUGCUAAAGAAAGUAAAGUGGCGAACGGGUGAGUAACGCGUGGGUAAUCUGCCUUCGAAUCGGGGAUAACAUUGCGAAAGUGAUGCUAAUACCGGAUAAAAUCUUAUUGGCUUAGGUGAAAAAGAUCAAAGGUGGUCUCUUUUUAAAAGCUACUGUUCGGAGAUGAGCCCGCGUACCAUUAGCUAGUUGGUGGGGUAAAGGCCUACCAAGGCGACGAUGGUUAGCUGGUCUGAGAGGAUGAUCAGCCACACCGGAACUGAAACACGGUCCGGACUCCUACGGGAGGCAGCAGUGAGGAAUUUUGCGCAAUGGGGGAAACCCUGACGCAGCAACGCCGCGUGAGUGAUGAAGGCUUUCGGGUCGUAAAGCUCUGUCAGGUGGGAAGAAUCUGCUAUAGGUGAAUAUCUUAUGGCACUGACGGUACCACCGAAGGAAGCACCGGCUAACUCCGUGCCAGCAGCCGCGGUAACACGGGGGGUGCAAGCGUUAUUCGGAUUUAUUGGGCGUAAAGGGCGCGCAGGCGGUUUCUUAAGUCAGAUGUGAAAGCCCGGGGCUUAACCCCGGAAGGGCAUUUGAAACUAAGAAACUUGAGUAUGGGAGAGGGAAGUGGAA